AGGAUGAUAGCUUAGUUGGCAGAGCGUUGGAUUCCAAAUCCAAAGGUGGUGGGUUCGAGCCCUACUCAUCCUG
RNAcentral lists this transfer RNA (73 nucleotides) under Marsupiomonas sp. NIES 1824. RNAcentral's name for it is "tRNA-Trp". It matches the Rfam family "tRNA". Rfam says of the family: Transfer RNA (tRNA) molecules are approximately 80 nucleotides in length. Their secondary structure includes four short double-helical elements and three loops (D, anti-codon, and T loops). Lineage: Eukaryota; Viridiplantae; Chlorophyta; Pedinophyceae; Marsupiomonadales; Marsupiomonadaceae. The record is from RNAcentral.